ACUGGAAGGUUGGCAUCUUCUGUAAUCGCGCUUCUGCGAAGUCGGAUUGUGGGAUGGUCUGAGGCUGGGGGUUCUGUGUGAUGGAUUUCCUAACGUUGACGGAACGUCCGCACUAAGCUUGCCGUCAAUAUGGGUGCCAUGGAGGAGUCCAAGGCAUUCAGGUUGGCUAAGGAGGGGUGUACCGGGCCAGGGGUGAAAACCAGCAGCCAAGAGUCCCCGCGGUAAGCAGUAGUGGGAUAGCGUACCGGAGUGUGGUGCCACUGCCAGCCCAGCCAAUAUGGUUGGACCUUAAUCUUU
Molecule: non-coding RNA, 297 nt
Organism: Stomoxys calcitrans (stable fly)
Lineage: Eukaryota; Metazoa; Arthropoda; Insecta; Diptera; Muscidae
Source: Rfam